This 1021-nucleotide ribosomal RNA is filed under the name Promicromonospora sp. K25-15L. Its description in RNAcentral is "bacterial SSU rRNA". It matches the Rfam family "Bacterial small subunit ribosomal RNA", at positions 438 to 1471 of the family's 1533-position model. The record is from RNAcentral. Lineage: Bacteria; Bacillati; Actinomycetota; Actinomycetes; Micrococcales; Promicromonosporaceae.
AGCAGGGAAGAAGCGAGAGUGACGGUACCUGCAGAAGAAGCGCCGGCUAACUACGUGCCAGCAGCCGCGGUAAUACGUAGGGCGCAAGCGUUGUCCGGAAUUAUUGGGCGUAAAGAGCUCGUAGGCGGUCUGUCGCGUCUGGUGUGAAAUCCCAUGGCUCAACUGUGGGCUUGCAUCGGGUACGGGCAGACUAGAGUGCUGUAGGGGAGACUGGAAUUCCUGGUGUAGCGGUGGAAUGCGCAGAUAUCAGGAGGAACACCGAUGGCGAAGGCAGGUCUCUGGGCAGUUACUGACGCUGAGGAGCGAAAGCAUGGGGAGCGAACAGGAUUAGAUACCCUGGUAGUCCAUGCCGUAAACGUUGGGCACUAGGUGUGGGGCCAGUUCCACUGGUUCUGUGCCGCAGCUAACGCAUUAAGUGCCCCGCCUGGGGAGUACGGCCGCAAGGCUAAAACUCAAAGGAAUUGACGGGGGCCCGCACAAGCGGCGGAGCAUGCGGAUUAAUUCGAUGCAACGCGAAGAACCUUACCAAGGCUUGACAUGUACGAGAAAGCCCCAGAGAUGGGGUUCUCUUUGGACACUCGUACACAGGUGGUGCAUGGUUGUCGUCAGCUCGUGUCGUGAGAUGUUGGGUUAAGUCCCGCAACGAGCGCAACCCUUAUCCUAUGUUGCCAGCGGGUUAUGCCGGGGACUCAUGGGAGACUGCCGGGGUCAACUCGGAGGAAGGUGGGGAUGACGUCAAAUCAUCAUGCCCCUUAUGUCUUGGGCUUCACGCAUGCUACAAUGGCCGGUACAGAGGGCUGCGAUACCGUGAGGUGGAGCGAAUCCCAAAAAGCCGGUCUCAGUUCGGAUCGGGGUCUGCAACUCGACCCCGUGAAGUCGGAGUCGCUAGUAAUCGCAGAUCAGCAACGCUGCGGUGAAUACGUUCCCGGGCCUUGUACACACCGCCCGUCAAGUCACGAAAGUUGGUAACACCCGAAGCUCACGGCCCAACCCCUCGGGGAGGGAGUGUCGAAGUGAAUAG